This 336-nucleotide unclassified non-coding RNA is filed under the name soil metagenome. RNAcentral describes it as "partial contains 5.8S ribosomal RNA, internal transcribed spacer 2, and large subunit ribosomal RNA". The stretch from base 2 to 119 matches the Rfam family "5.8S ribosomal RNA", at positions 37 to 154 of the family's 154-position model. The record is from RNAcentral.
GUGAAGAACGUAGCGAAAUGCGAUAAGUAGUGUGAAUUGCAGAAUUCAGUGAAUCAUCGAAUCUUUGAACGCACAUUGCGCCCCUUGGUAUUCCAUGGGGCAUGCCUGUUCGAGCGUCAUUUGUACCUUCAAGCUUUGCUUGGUGUUGGGUGUUUGUCUCGCCUCCGCGUGUAGACUCGCCUCAAAACAAUUGGCAGCCGGCGUAUUGAUUUCGGAGCGCAGUACAUCUCGCGCUUUGCACUCACAACGACGACGUCCAAAAGUACAUUUUUACACUCUUGACCUCGGAUCAGGUAGGGAUACCCGCUGAACUUAAGCAUAUCAAUAAGCGGAGGA